UUCAAGUUUGAUUGAUUUUCUUUAUUGAUCGAGUCUAAUGUGUGCAGGUCGAGUCAUUCCAUUCACGAAUUAGUCCCAACCUAUUUCAUGUGUGGAUUACUUUCUUNNNNNNNNNNNNNNNNNNNNAUUCCAUUCACGAAUUAGUCCCAACCUGUUUCAUGUGUGGACUACUUUCUUCCACUUGUUCAUGAAGCUACCCAUUCCUUGUUCCACGUCAUCUUCCCCGUGUGCACCAAGCUUCCCAUCUUAGCAAAACAGAAGCCUCCCCCAGUUCCUCCCCAUGUCCGAGUCUAAGCCCUCUCUUUCCUUCUCCGAAUCUCUCAGCUUCUUCCGCUAGAUCCCAGCCUAUCCACGGAUAAGGUCACACAUCAUUCCUACUCUUCCAUGUCCUCAACCGAAUCCAACGUCUUCCUAGAUUUCCUCUCAGCCACAUCCAGCCAACGACAGCAUCCUCAAACUCCCGGAUUGAUCCCAGCCAAGCCAAAUCAAAUUCAAAUCUUCAAACCAUUCUCCCAAUCAUCUUACCCCUUCGAGAUCCUCCCAAACGGAACAGAGUUUCCCAUGUCCUCCACAUAUUUCUCUGCUUUGGAAUCAAGUCCCAGAUCCCAUCUUCUCCGUGAUCCUCUUCUUCCUGAUUCCUCUCAUUCACAAUAGCCUUCCACCACCCACGAAUCAAGUCCCAGAUUCAUCCAAACAUCUUCCCGUUCAUGUGUAUUCCGGCAUCUCCUCCUAGCCGUUAACAUCAUCACAACUGCAUCAUCCCCUGUUCCCAGCAGAAGGAUUCUUCCCAGCCGAAGGAAAUCAAACAUUCAAACCUAGCAAAUCCCAUGACUUCCUCCCAGCAAAUCUCAGUGUCCUCUUGUUCACAGCCGUCUUCCCUUCAUCUCGAUCGCACCCAGCUGCCUAUCCUCUGCAGAUCCAACUCAAAGUCUUCCGAAUCCCCUGCAUCAUAGAACAGAGUUUAUCUUCUCCAAAAAUCAAGCAUUUCAUUCCACGUUCACCCUCAUCCUUCCCAAACUUAUCCACCCUAGUGUCUGUUCUCAACAUCCUCCUUCCGAAUUCCCCAGCUGCCCAACAUCCCAGCGGUUUUUCGUGAUCCAUCCAUAUCCCACACCCGAGUUGAAGCUCCCCUGCUUCG
RNAcentral lists this long non-coding RNA (1138 nucleotides) under Phoenix dactylifera (date palm). Its description in RNAcentral is "long non-coding RNA (PDAC_LNC011383)". Lineage: Eukaryota; Viridiplantae; Streptophyta; Magnoliopsida; Arecales; Arecaceae. The record is from RNAcentral.